This 179-nucleotide ribosomal RNA is filed under the name Plectus sp. RNAcentral describes it as "partial small subunit ribosomal RNA". The record is from RNAcentral. Lineage: Eukaryota; Metazoa; Nematoda; Chromadorea; Plectida; Plectidae.
CGGUGUCUUGGGUGGCUAGCGAGUUUACUUUGAAAAAAUUAGAGUGCUUAACACAGGCUAACGCCUGAAUACUCGUGCAUGGAAUAAUAGAAUAAGACCACGGNUCUAAUUGUUGNNCGAGANUAAGGCGUAGGNGUGUGUUGACACUCUUUANUUUUCAGAGAGACCCCACCCNAAAC